AUUGAACGCUGGCGGCAGGCCUAACACAUGCAAGUCGAGCGGAUGAAGGGAGCUUGCUCCUGGAUUCAGCGGCGGACGGGUGAGUAAUGCCUAGGAAUCUGCCUGGUAGUGGGGGAUAACGUCCGGAAACGGGCGCUAAUACCGCAUACGUCCUGAGGGAGAAAGUGGGGGAUCUUCGGACCUCACGCUAUCAGAUGAGCCUAGGUCGGAUUAGCUAGUUGGUGGGGUAAAGGCCUACCAAGGCGACGAUCCGUAACUGGUCUGAGAGGAUGAUCAGUCACACUGGAACUGAGACAGGGUCCAGACUCCUACGGGAGGCAGCAGUGGGGAAUAUUGGACAAUGGGCGAAAGCCUGAUCCAGCCAUGCCGCGUGUGUGAAGAAGGUCUUCGGAUUGUAAAGCACUUUAAGUUGGGAGGAAGGGAAGUAAGUUAAUACCUUGCUGUUUUGACGUUACCAACAGAAUAAGCACCGGCUAACUUCGUG
This 484-nucleotide ribosomal RNA is filed under the name uncultured bacterium. Its description in RNAcentral is "partial 16S ribosomal RNA". It matches the Rfam family "Bacterial small subunit ribosomal RNA", at positions 30 to 507 of the family's 1533-position model. The record is from RNAcentral.